This 253-nucleotide ribosomal RNA is filed under the name uncultured bacterium. Its description in RNAcentral is "partial 16S ribosomal RNA". It matches the Rfam family "Bacterial small subunit ribosomal RNA", at positions 524 to 776 of the family's 1533-position model. The record is from RNAcentral.
GACAGAGGGUGCAAACGUUGUUCGGAAUUACUGGGCGUAAAGCGUGUGUAGGCGGUCAAGUAAGUCGGAUGUGGAAGCCCCGGGCUCAACCCGGGAAGUGCACUCGAAACUGCAUGACUUGAGUAUCGGAGAGGUUGGUGGAAUUCUCGGUGUAGAGGUGAAAUUCGUAGAUAUCGAGAGGAACACCGGUGGCGAAGGCGGCCAACUGGACGAAUACUGACGCUGAGACACGAAAGCGUGGGGAGCAAACAGG